This 2799-nucleotide long non-coding RNA is filed under the name Homo sapiens (human). Its description in RNAcentral is "non-protein coding lnc-APC-2:1". Lineage: Eukaryota; Metazoa; Chordata; Mammalia; Primates; Hominidae. The record is from RNAcentral.
GAGACCUUAUGUGCUAGAGAGGUCUCCUGAAGGCAGCAGAUGGUUGGUGAUCGCAUGUGGAUCAAGGACUGGAACAUAGCCCCUUUGUGGCCAUGGUGGAAAGGACCUCAGACCAUCAUCCUGACCACCCCCAAGGCUGUAAAGGUAGAAGGAAUCCCAUCCUGGGUCCACCACAGCCAUGUGAAUCCUGCAGCCGCUGAAACCUGGGAGGCAAAACAGAGCCUGGACAACCCCUGCAAAGUGACUCUGAGGAGGAUGACAAGCCCUGCUCCAGUCACACCUGGAAGCUGACUGGUCUACGCACAGCCAAAACAUGAGGAGGAUCAUUGUGGGACUCACUUUCCUUAUAAUUUGGACUUGUAUAGUAAAAACUUCCACUGAUUUUCCUCACAUGUAGGACUGCUCUCAGUGUAUACAUCAGGUUACCGAGGUAGCACAACAAGUUACAACAAUCUUUCUGUUCUAUAGUUACUAUGAAUGCCCAGGAAAUUUAAAAGGAAUAUGUUUAUAUAACGACACUCAGUAUAAGGUAUGUAGCCCAGGAAAUGACUGGCCAGAUGUGUGUUAUGACCCCUUUGAGCCUCCCAUGUCCACAGUUUUUGAAAUAAAAUUAAGGACUGAAGACUGGUGGGGACUCAUAAAUGAUACAAGUAAAGUAUUAGCCAGAACAGAAGAAAAAGGGGUGCCCAGAUGCACAAUCUUGAAAUUUGAUACCUGUGGUGUCAUUAAUAGCAAUAAGUUAGGAAGGGGAUAUAGCUCUUUUAGUUGGGAAAAAGGCUAUGUGACCAAAAAUAAGUACAUUUGUCAUGAAUUAGGACUGUGUGGAAAUGAAUGUGGAUACUGGUCUUGUGUCAUUUGGGCCACUUGGAUAAAAAAUGAAAAGGAUCCAGUCCACCUUCAGAAAGGAAAAAAUGGCCCUUCCUGUACUAAGGGACAAGGUAACACCUUAGAGCUAGUAAUAACCAAUCCCCUUGAUCCACGCUGGAGAAAAGGGGAGCAUGUGACCUUAGGAAUCAAUGGGGCCAGACUGGAUCCUCGAGUAAAUUUCUUAGUUUGAGGAGAAGUUUACAAACACUCUCCUGAGCCAGUGUUUCAAACUUUCUAUGAUGAACUAAAUGUGCCAGUACCAGAAAUUCCAGGAAAAACAAGAAAUUUGUUUUUGCAAUUAGCCAAGCAUGUAGCCCAGUCUCUCAAUGUCACUUCAUGUUAUGUCUGUGGAGGAACUGCAGUGGGAGAUCAAUGGCCAUGGGAAGCCUGAAAAUUAGUACAUACAGACCCAGCUCCUGAUGAAUUCCUGGCUCAAAAGAAUCACUCUAAUAAUUUCUGAGUCCUAAAAGCCUCAAUUAUUGGACAAUAUUGCAUAGCUAGAGAAGGAAAAGAAUUCACUUACCCCGUAGAAUGACUUAGUUGUCUGGAACAGAAACUGUAUAAUGGCACCACAAAGACAGUCACUUGGUGGAGUUCAAAUCACACAGAGAGGAAUCCACUUAGUAAAUUCCCAAAGUUGCAAACCGUGUGGACCCACCCGGAGUCCCACCGGGACUGGACAGCCCCCACUGGAUUAUACUGGAUAUGUGGGCAUAGAGCUUAUGCCAAAUUAUCCGAACAGUGGGCGGGUAGUUGUGUUAUUGUCACUAUUAAACCAUCUUUCUUUCUACUGCCCAUAAAGACAGGUGAACUCCUGGGCUUCCCUGUCUAUGCUUCCAGUGAAAAGAGAAGCAAAGCUAUAGGAAAUUGGAAAGAUGAUGAAUGGUCCCCUGAGGGAAUCAUACAAUAUUAUGGGCCUGCUACUUGGGCACAAGACAGCUCAUGGGGACGCCGGACCCCCAUUUACAUGAUGAACCAAAUCAUACGGUUACAAGCUGUCUUAGAAAUAACCACUGAUACAACCAGCAGAGCCUUGACUAUUCUGGCCUGGCAAGAAACUCAGAUGAGAAAUGCUAUCUAUCAAAGUAGAUUGGCUCUCGACUACUUGCUAGCAGUUGAAGGAGGGGUCUGUGGGAAAUUUAACCUUACUAAUUGCUGUCUACACAUAGAUGAUCAAGGGCGAGUGGUUGAAGACAUAGUUAGAGAUAUGACAAAACUGGCACACGUGUCCAUGCAAGUGUGGCAUGGAUUUGAUCCUGAAGCCAUGUUUGGAAAAUGGCUCCCAGUGCUAGGAGGAUUUAAAACUCUUAUAAUAGGAGUUAUAAUAGUAAUAAAAACCUGCUUACUGCUCCCUUGUUUGCUACCUGUACUUCUUCAAAUGAUAAAAAAGCUUCAUCGCUACCUUAGCUCUCCAAAAUACUCCAGCACAAGUGUACUAUAUGAAUCACCAUCGAUCUGUCUUGCAAGAAGACAUGGGUAGUGAGGAUGAAAGUGAGAACUCCCACUAUUGAGUGAGAUUCUCAAAUGGGGGGAAUAAGGGAGGAGACCACCCCUUAUAUUGUCUUAUGCCCAAUUUCUGCCUCCAAAGAAAGAAGAAGUAAAAACUAAAAGGCAGAAAUGAAAUCUACAAACAGACAACCCGGUGCCACACCCUGGGCCUGGUAGUUAAAGAUCGACCCCUGACCUAAUCAGUUAUUUGCAUAAAAAAGGCACUGUGAAGAUCCGUGUCCUGUUCAGUUUCUUUCUAAUUACCGAUGUAUGCAGCCCCCAGUCAUGUACCCCUGCUUGCUCAAUUGAUCACGACCCUCUCAAGCGGACACCCUUAGAGUUGUGAGCCCUUAAAAGGGACAGGAAUUGCUCACUUGGGGAGCUCGGUUGUUGGAGACGUGAGUCUUGCUAAAGCUCUUGCCUAAAUAAAGCCCUUCCUUCUUU